RNAcentral lists this ribosomal RNA (465 nucleotides) under uncultured bacterium. RNAcentral's name for it is "partial 16S ribosomal RNA". It matches the Rfam family "Bacterial small subunit ribosomal RNA", at positions 338 to 795 of the family's 1533-position model. The record is from RNAcentral.
CCUACGGGAGGCAGCAGUGGGGAAUAUUGCGCAAUGGGCGAAAGCCUGACGCAGCGACGCCGCGUGAGGGAUGAAGGUCUUCGGAUCGUAAACCUCUGUCAGCAGGGAGGAACGGUCACUGUGCUAAUCAGCAGUGAAUUGACGGUACCUACAAAGGAAGCACCGGCUAACUCCGUGCCAGCAGCCGCGGUAAUACGGAGGGUGCAAGCGUUAAUCGGAAUUACUGGGCGUAAAGCGCUCGUAGGCGGUAGGUCAAGUCAAGGGUGAAAUCCCCGGGCUUAACGUGGGAAUUGCCUUUGAAACUGGCAAACUGGAGUGUGUGAGAGGAUAGUGGAAUUCCAGGUGUAGGGGUGAAAUGCGUAGAGAUCUGGAGGAAUAUCAGUGGCGAAGGCGACUAUCUGGAACAUAACUGACGCUGAGGAGCGAAAGCGUGGGUAGCAAACAGGAUUAGAUACCCCUGUAGUC